CAAUAGCGUAUAUUAAAGUUGUUGCAGUUAAAAAGCUCGUAGUUGGAUUUCUGAUCGAGACAUCAGGUCGGGUCCGAGAGGAUCAUGUACUUUGAUUUUGUUUUGAUCAUUCUUGGGGAGAGCAUUUCUGGCAUUCAGUUGUCGGGAUUGGGAUCCUCAUCGUUUACUGUGAAAAAAUUAGAGUGUUCAAAGCAGGCCUCGGCCUCUGAAUACAUUAGCAUGGAAUAAUAAGAUAGGACUUUGGUGGUCUAUUUUGUUGGUUUGCACGCCAAAGUAAUGAUUAAUAGGGAUAGUUGGGGGUAUUCGUAUUCAAUUGUCAGAGGUGAAAUUCUUGGAUUUAUGGAAGACGAACUACUGCGAAAGCAUUUGCCAAGGAUGUUUUCAUUAA
This 388-nucleotide ribosomal RNA is filed under the name uncultured eukaryote. RNAcentral's name for it is "partial 18S ribosomal RNA". It matches the Rfam family "Eukaryotic small subunit ribosomal RNA", at positions 592 to 976 of the family's 1831-position model. The record is from RNAcentral.